Molecule: ribosomal RNA, 427 nt
Filed under: uncultured bacterium
Lineage: Bacteria
Description: bacterial SSU rRNA
Rfam family: Bacterial small subunit ribosomal RNA
Source: RNAcentral
UAGGGAAUAUUGGACAAUGGGCGCAAGCCUGAUCCAGCCAUGCCGCGUGAGUGAAGAAGGCCCUCGGGUUGUAAAGCUCUUUUGUCCGGAAAGAAAAGCAUCGGGUUAAUACCCCGGUGUUCUGACGGUACCGGAAGAAUAAGCACCGGCUAACUUCGUGCCAGCAGCCGCGGUAAUACGAAGGGUGCAAGCGUUACUCGGAAUUACUGGGCGUAAAGCGUGCGUAGGUGGUUCGUUAAGUCGGAUGUGAAAGCCCUGGGCUCAACCUGGGAAUGGCAUUGGAAACUGGCGGACUGGAGUGCGGUAGAGGGUAGCGGAAUUCCCGGUGUAGCAGUGAAAUGCGUAGAGAUCGGGAGGAACAUCCGUGGCGAAGGCGGCUACCUGGACCAGCACUGACACUGAGGCACGAAAGCGUGGGGAGCAAACA